RNAcentral lists this unclassified non-coding RNA (621 nucleotides) under Hevea brasiliensis (rubber tree). The record is from RNAcentral. Lineage: Eukaryota; Viridiplantae; Streptophyta; Magnoliopsida; Malpighiales; Euphorbiaceae.
GCAAGACUUUUUUUUCAAAAAUAAAGAUUUCAAUUUAAAAAGUCCAUAAAAGGCCUAAGCAUAUUACACAACAAAGCUUGAACCCAUAUCCAAAUACAAAGGAAAUUCUAUCUACAAGCUUAAAACUUGCCCAAAACCAGAAAAAGCCCAAAAGCCCAAGUCAUUCAAAAAAAUCCUAGGCCGAAAAACAGUUCUUCCAAGUUCCACCCAAUUGCAAGAUCCAGCAACAAUCAACACCAUCUGUCUUGAAUUUCAUUUAUCAAAUUCUUUCAGAUCCAUAGCCUUCAAAAAACCUGCAAGCCAUUCCUAAUAAUAAUAAUAACAAUAAGAGGUCAUAAAAUUGAGAUCUGAAUUCUGAAAGGGAAACAAAAAAUACAGACCUAAGACGUACACAUGGCGGUGGAAGACGAAGGAAAGGGUCAAAGAUUCCUACGAAUAACAGAGGUGGUGAGGAGAAGGAGGAAUAAUCGGAAACCUACGGCAUGGGUGGAGUAGGGAAGAUAACAAACAAUUAUAUCAUACCCAUUUAAUGAAACAAUACUUAUUUAUCUUCCCCACUCGCCCAUCCCAUACCCUUCCGAAAAUCCAAGCUCCUUCUUCAUUUCCUCUCAUUGAUCUUUG